CUAAGAAAAAACCAUACGACGCCCCCUCCUCUCGAUCCUGAUGCGACCUCUCUCUUUCCCCCAUCUCCCGUGCCGCUGCUGCCCCCAUCUCACGCUCCGCCGCCGGCCCUACUGCUCCGCUGGCCCGACCUCUUCAUCGGGCGCGGCCGCAGGAGCAGCUCCACCUCUCCACUCCCUCACGCAACAACACUCCAAACACCCACCCCCACGCUCGGCUGCCGCUAGGGUUUCUUACCCUCGCUGCCCCGCUGCGAUUCGUGUUGCGGGCAGUGAGGAUGGGACCGGGUCGGCCGUGUCGCUUGGCGGGUUGAGUGGCUGGGGCAGUGGCGCCACUACGCUGGGCGGAGGAGAAGGAUAGAGCCGUGGUGGUCCGAGCCUGGAGGGUAGCGUUGUGCCAGAUCGAGGUAGCGUUCACUGUCGUCUGAUCCAUGAAAUUUGAGAUUGCCGUCGCAGGUCGCCGAUGGCCAACAUGCGUAGGUCAUGUACGAUCCUCCCUCGCAAUCCAUGCAGUAUGGCUCACCACCUCAGGCCGACGCGGUGCCUCCUCGGCGGGGCAGGCGACGACCUCUUCCUCCUCGGGUUGUCUCCGUCCUCCCGCUCAAGCCAUCGCCAUCGCCUCCCAUCCUUCAUGGCAUGCUUGUGUGGGCCCACGGCUGGAGGAUGACAUUGAACAUGAAGCGGAUCUCAGCCGGAGCGGUCUGACGCGGUGGUCGUUGCCAAGGAGUGGUUGUCGACGCCAUCGAGCAGGGGCCCUCGGUCGCCUACCCUCCUCUUGCUGCUAUCCUCCACGUCCCCGAAGAACAUUAUCCAGAGCAGCACGAGAGUUGUUGCUUGUGUCGCUCCCCUUACUGGAGGAGGGCUCCACUAUGGCCAUUCGCCACUCUGCCUGCAAGCUCGACGCCACAAUUUGACAAGGACAAGGUGGUAGUCGACGAUGACGAGUAUGGCGCCCUGGCUGUCUCUGUUCAUGAGAUUUCCGUAUGGUGGCCGAAUUUGAACCACACGAGGCUGCUCCCCUCGUAUUGCAGAUCAGACUUAGAUUAUAUUCAUCCAUAGGUCAUGGGUGGCUCCAAAAGCUACGCCACAUGAUAUUAUCAGGUUAUUAUUACCCACCAAGUCACUAGGCCAGCUUUUGCUGUACUUUUUCUUCAUUUUGUUCAGAUUUAUUUCAUGCCCGAAUGUUCUAUUAUGUGCAGCUAUGAGAUUUUAUUUGAAGAAUCAUGCAAAGCAAUUUGAGAUGAUGCAUAUAAAGCAUCUUCAAUUUA
Long non-coding RNA from Aegilops tauschii subsp. strangulata, 1265 nucleotides. RefSeq lists it as uncharacterized. The record is from RefSeq and is a predicted model, not a curated record. NCBI's taxonomy places the organism in Eukaryota, Viridiplantae, Streptophyta, Magnoliopsida, Poales, Poaceae.